This 473-nucleotide ribosomal RNA is filed under the name Loxosceles caribbaea. RNAcentral's name for it is "partial 16S ribosomal RNA". The stretch from base 128 to 431 matches the Rfam family "Bacterial large subunit ribosomal RNA", at positions 2074 to 2646 of the family's 2925-position model. Lineage: Eukaryota; Metazoa; Arthropoda; Arachnida; Araneae; Sicariidae. The record is from RNAcentral.
ACUGUGCUAAGGUAGCAUAAUAACCUGCUUUUUAAUUUAAAGAUAGAAUGAAAGGAUGAACGACUUAUUUAUUUUUUAAUUUUCAAAUAAUAAAAUUAAUUAAAAUGUAAAAAAGCAUUUAUGCUAAAGAAAGACGACAAGACCCUAUAGAACUUAUUACUAUAAAGUUUUGCUGGGGCAGCAUAAAAUAACAAUUUUAAAUAAACAUUCAAAAUACAGACCUAAUAAAAAUUAAACUUUAAAACAAGUUACCUUAGGGAUAACAGCAUAAUUUUACUUAAAAGAACCUAUAAAAAGUAAAGAUUUUGACCUCGAUGUUGAAUUAAUUUAACUCCAUAAAGCAAAAAUUAUAAGAGUAAGUCUGUUCGACUUUUAAAAAAUUACAUGAUUUGAGUUCAGACCGGUGAAAACCAGGUCAGAUUCUAUCUUCUUUAAUUUAAUUACAGUACGAAAGGACCUAAUCUUAUAUCAAA